Molecule: ribosomal RNA, 651 nt
Filed under: Rhizopogon abietis
Lineage: Eukaryota; Fungi; Basidiomycota; Agaricomycetes; Boletales; Rhizopogonaceae
Description: eukaryotic LSU rRNA
Rfam family: 5.8S ribosomal RNA (bases 194-348)
Source: RNAcentral
CCUCGGAAACGAGGCAUGUGCACGCUCUUCUGUUUUUCAUAACUCACCUGUGCACCUAAUGUAGGAUGCUCCUCCUUCGGGAGGGGGGACCUAUGUCUUCAUAUACCUCUUCGUGUAGAAAGUCUUAGAAUGUUUACUAUCAGAGAGUCGCGACUUCUAGGAGACGCGAAUCUCUGAGAUAAAAGUUAAUUACAACUUUCAGCAAUGGAUCUCUUGGCUCUCGCAUCGAUGAAGAACGCAGCGAAAAGCGAUAUGUAAUGUGAAUUGCAGAUCUACAGUGAAUCAUCGAAUCUUUGAACGCACCUUGCGCUCCUCGGUGUUCCGAGGAGCAUGCCUGUUUGAGUGUCAGUAAAUUCUCAACCCCUCUCGAUUUUUUUCGAGGGGGAGCUUGGAUGGUGGGGGCUGCCGGAGACUAGGAUUCGUCCUUGACUCGGGCUCUCCUUAAAUGCAUUGGCUUGCGGUCGACUUUCGACUUUGCGCGACAAGGCUUUCGGCGUGAUAAUGAUCGCCGUUCGCUGAAGCGCAUGAAUGAAGGUUCCGUGCCUCUAAUACCGUCGACAGUUACUAUCUCUUCGGAGAGAAAACGUCUUCCUUCAUUGACUUUUGACCUCAAAUCAGGUAGGACUACCCGCUGAACUUAAGCAUAUCAAU